This 440-nucleotide long non-coding RNA is filed under the name Theobroma cacao (cacao). RNAcentral's name for it is "long non-coding RNA (TCAC_LNC000427)". Lineage: Eukaryota; Viridiplantae; Streptophyta; Magnoliopsida; Malvales; Malvaceae. The record is from RNAcentral.
UUUUUGUAGCAUAAAAGCUAAAUAAAUUCAUACAUACUGUAAUAUAGAUAACCAAAGUAUAAAAUUUAAUUUACAAUGACACAUGGGCCCAUGAACGACCAAAAGUAUCAAAAGCGGUAAACCUACAAUUUUUGAGGAUGCAAGUCCAACUGUAGCCCUCAACAAAGUAAGCUAUCUACCGACUAUCCUGAGCCUGAAAUGGGUGGAAAUGAGGGUGAUGAGAUUAUAUAAUCCCAAUGAGUAAACAAAUACCAUCUAAAAUAUCUAAAGCUGAGCAAAUGGAGAUAGAUAAAAAUAGAUCAUCAUAUUGUAAUUCAUCACCUUUCAACUCAUUUCAACCAAAUAAAAUCAAUUCAUAUAAAUCGAGUAAUCAACAUGGCUUAUGAAUUUCUUAAAACUUUGGCUCGUGCCAAAAUCAUUCUCAUACUCAGUUAUCAAGG